GAUGAACGCUGGCGGCGUGCCUAAUACAUGCAAGUCGAGCGAACAGACGAGGAGCUUGCUCCUCUGACGUUAGCGGCGGACGGGUGAGUAACACGUGGAUAACCUACCUAUAAGACUGGGAUAACUUCGGGAAACCGGAGCUAAUACCGGAUAAUAUAUUGAACCGCAUGGUUCAAUAGUGAAAGACGGUUUUGCUGUCACUUAUAGAUGGAUCCGCGCCGCAUUAGCUAGUUGGUAAGGUAACGGCUUACCAAGGCAACGAUGCGUAGCCGACCUGAGAGGGUGGACGGCCCCACUGGAACUGAGACACGGUCCCGACUCCUACGGGAGGCAGCAGUAGGGAAUCUUCCGCAAAGGGCGGAAGCCUGACGGAGCAACGCCGCGUGAGUGAUUAAGGUCUUCGGAUCGUAAAACUCUGUUAUUAGGGAAGAACAAAUGUUUAAGUAACUAUGCACGUCUUGACGGUACCUAAUCAGAAAGCCACGGCUAACUACGUG
Molecule: ribosomal RNA, 497 nt
Filed under: uncultured bacterium
Lineage: Bacteria
Description: partial 16S ribosomal RNA
Rfam family: Bacterial small subunit ribosomal RNA
Source: RNAcentral